Molecule: ribosomal RNA, 292 nt
Filed under: uncultured bacterium
Lineage: Bacteria
Description: partial 16S ribosomal RNA
Rfam family: Bacterial small subunit ribosomal RNA
Source: RNAcentral
GUGCCAGCAGCCGCGGUAAGACGAACUGUGCGAACGUUGUUCGGAAUCACUGGGCUUAAAGGGUGCGUAGGCGGCCCGUUAAGUCGGGGGUGAAAUACUUCGGCUCAACCGGAGAAUUGCCUUCGAUACUGGCGGGCUGGAGGAAGGUAGGGGUCGCGGGAACUGCCAGUGGAGCGGUGAAAUGCGUUGAUAUUGGCAGGAACGCCGGUGGUGAAGACGCGCGGCUGGACCUUUUCUGACGCUGAGGCACGAAAGCCAGGGGAGCAAACGGGAUUAGAUACCCCAGUAGUCC